This 521-nucleotide ribosomal RNA is filed under the name Carabus convexus convexus. Its description in RNAcentral is "partial 16S ribosomal RNA". It matches the Rfam family "Bacterial large subunit ribosomal RNA", at positions 1829 to 2599 of the family's 2925-position model. Lineage: Eukaryota; Metazoa; Arthropoda; Insecta; Coleoptera; Carabidae. The record is from RNAcentral.
GUCCUUUUGAAUUUUUAUUUAAGGUCUAGUCUGCCCACUGAAUUUAUAUUUUAAAUGGCCGCAGUAUUUUGACUGUGCAAAGGUAGCAUAAUCAUUAGUUUUUUAAUUAAAAGCUUGUAUGAAAGGCUGGACGAGGUAAAAUCUGUCUCUAUUUAAAUUAUAGUAGAAUUUAUCUUUUAAGUUAAAAGACUUAAAUAUUAUUAAAAGACGAGAAGACCCUAUAGAUCUUUAUAAUUUGUUAAAUGAAAUUAAUUUAGAAAUUUUUAUGUUUUAUUUAAUUAGAUUAUUUUAUUGGGGUAAUAAAAAGAUUGAAUUAAUUCUUUUUUAUAAUUAACAUUGAUAUAUGAAUAUUAAUGAUCCAGUUUUAUUGAUUAUAAGAUUAAGUUACCUUAGGGAUAACAGCGUAAUUUUUUUAGAGAGUUCAUAUCGAUAAAAAAGUUUGCGACCUCGAUGUUGGAUUAAAGAUUAUUUUAGGUGCAGAAGCUUAAUAAUUUUGGUCUGUUCGACCAUUAAAUCUUUAC